This 76-nucleotide transfer RNA is filed under the name Desmophyllum pertusum. RNAcentral describes it as "tRNA-Cys". The stretch from base 3 to 68 matches the Rfam family "tRNA". Rfam says of the family: Transfer RNA (tRNA) molecules are approximately 80 nucleotides in length. Their secondary structure includes four short double-helical elements and three loops (D, anti-codon, and T loops). The record is from RNAcentral. Lineage: Eukaryota; Metazoa; Cnidaria; Anthozoa; Scleractinia; Caryophylliidae.
UCCUCCAAGCUCAGUGGUAGAGCAUCCAACCGCACCUGGAAGGUCAUGGGUUCGAUUCCCGUUGGGGAGCUCUGAA